AAAAUGCGAGAAGUACCUUGCAAUAAAGAGAGGGUGGCUGUUACUUGAUAGGCUUGUGCUCCAAUACUACUGAAGGUGUGUCAUUUGAAGAAAGACUUGAUGACAGAUGGCAUUUCCGAAAGUAGAGAACUGGGGGGAGCUGAAAGAAAUGUUUCUCAGGCUGAUGUUAGAGAGGAUAAGCAGCAGUCUGGACAUGGUCAAGAUCAGAGUUACCUAAGGAAUGUUUAGAAAAUGGCAAAUAUAUUAGCAGUAUGAUAAGGUGAGGUUAUAUGAAGUAGGAAGAGAAGCCCGGAAAACCCACAUAGGUGACUCUGGCCUGGAUGACUAAGGCUUCAUGUUUGGUGCAGUAAUAUUUUAAGAGUAUCCUCAGAAUGUGUCCCUCACCUAUGCUCAGGCAAAACUCUACCCUUCCUUGGAUCAGACAGAAUAGCCCUAGACUGCUGGGUGCUCAAAUCCAACCCAUUUGGCUAAUUCCUGAGUAUCUGCCAACCACUGGUUGGACUAAUUAUCAGCUCAUGAUCCAACCCAUUUAAACAAUAAAACAGUGGGAAUAAUAAAAGUAUAGGUAAAAAGUUAUCCCUGCAGAGGAAGGGAAAGAUUUAACUGUUCGGGUUUUGUAAUUCCUGUUAUCUAUACUUAAGACUGUAUGAGAAUAAUAGAAAAAUAAAAAGAAAUGCUAAUGGUGAAGAAACAGAUUUUGGUGUAAGCUAUUGUCAUCUGUCUCUCUGCGGAAUGCAUUUUAGGCAAAGGAAAGACUAAGGAAACAUUCUAGGAAGACUUAAUUCCCAUGAAAACUAUACUUGGUCUGUAGGAACCUAUCAUUCUACAAGAACCAAGUCAAAUUCCAUGAGUGAUUGGUUAGGUAUCCCUGGCCCUAAAGAAUCACAGAAUGUACCCCAAUUUGAAGACUCUGACUCAAAAUAGGCUGCUUUAGACUAGCUCAAGAUAGUCGAGGAAAACAAGACAAAACAGCAAUACCUUUCACACCUUGAAUGCAGACCCUUAAUUUCACCAUAGCUGGUUCUUUCCCCACCUCCAAUUAACUCAUAAGCCAAGCUAACUAUAUUUUUAAUCACUGUCUACCACUAUGGUGUCCAAUACGGUAACCACCAAUGGCUACUGACCACUUCAUAUGUGGUCAGUGUGUAUGGAAAUAUGCUCUAAGUGUAACAUACACACCAGAUCUCAAAGCACAGCACAGAAAAGUAAAAUAUGCCAUGAAUAACUUUUAAAAUAUUGAUUGCUUAUGGAAAUGAUAAUCUUUUGAAUACAUUUGGUUAAAGAAAAUAUAUUUUCAAAAUUAAUUUCAACUUAAAGAAAACUUUCCUUUUAAUGAAGCUACUAGAAAAAUUAAAAUUAAUGUUAAUCAUGUUAUAGUUUUAUUGGACAGUGCUGGUCUAUUUUCCUUACACCCCAGGAUACCCAAGGCCUAAAACAGUUAAUACAUUUCUAAUUGAAACUCAUCUUAGAAAUCUCUCUUCCAAUGUUUGAUGCCUAUAGAUAGAAAAAAAAGUAAAGGUCAGGGAUACUUGAUUGUAACUUCAAUCUUAAAAGUAUGUAUGCUGAUAGUGUGAAUCAUUAUAGCACACCCAUAAUCUGAAAUAGAUGGCAAUGACCUACCUAUUUUUUCCAGUUCUAGGCUUACCCAGUGUUAACUCCUUGCAAAACUUACCAUUUUCUUUUCCAUGCCUCAGCAACAGAAUAAGAUGUAAAGAAAGAGGAAGUGAUGCCUAGACUACCUAGCCCCUAGCACUGCCAUAAAGGGCAGGAAACACCCAAUGUCUACAUUAAGAAGCUUACACCAUUAGCUAGUUUCAGAGCUGUCAUGAUAAACUAACCCUCCUUAUCCAAAUCUGGUCCUGUUCUCAUUAUACAUCUCUGUUUUGCCCCAUAAAAAUGGGGCAAGAACGGGGUGCACUGGACAAAAGUCUCUAGGUUGCUGACCUGACAGAGAAUUGAUUUACUUAGACUUAGCAUCUCUCUCUCCACACCUGACUCAGUGAAAAGUUGCAAACAGUGUUUAAAUAUUAUACUUUCACUUUCAACAAAUCACUGUCAAUUUCUCCCCAUACCCAUUUUUCCAAAGCCUUAUGAACAGGUGUUACUGUUGUUUACGAUCAGCACAGCAACCUACUGGGAGAAGUGAUUCACCGAAAAGUAAAAUUGAAUAUUUUUCCUUCAACAUUUGAUGAGGAUAAUACUUCUGGGCACAUAUGGCAAUUGUACCAACAUUUCAUAGAAUCAUAAAAUCCUAGUUCUCAAAAGAAUCUUCUGCAGCUAAAACAAAAGCAAUGUGUCAAGCUUGCUAUUUAUUGUUGGGAUAUUUAAAAGACAAGAUUUUUCCAAUUUUUAGAUACAGUUAUUGAAAAAGCUACAAUAAGAAGAUGAAGAGAAAAGCAAGAAACCGUGAAAUACAGGAUAACAUAUGUGAACUAAAAGUAUAAAUAUAUAUUUUUAAGUGAUUGAAGUAGAUAUUUCAUCUAAUCACUAUAGCAUCCCUGCUCUAAUUUUCAGGUGAGUUUCUAAUGAAGGGGAGAACGAAUCAGUCACAGUUAUAUGGACAUAAAUAUCUAUGACAAUUUUUAUAGAUAUUGUGGGCAAUUUAGUUAUUAUCUUUCCCGCCCUUUAUAUAAUUGAGGAAAUUUGUUGGGAGAUCAAAAUAAAUAGUGCACUGGUUUUAGCCAUGGUACAAGAAAUGCUAACUGGAAUGUGCUCUAUACAGUCAUAUAAAUAAAGGCUUUUAAGAAUUUUUUAAAAGCAAUAACCUGUGUUAUCAUAAGUUUCAGAAAGCUUUGUCUACUUAAAAUUGUAUAGGUUUUUCAAGGUGGAAACUUUUGAAGUAAGUAAUAUUUUCCUAAAAAUCAGCAUUAAGUUCUUUUGCUAUCUUUAUAGACUUCUUGAGGCUGGUAAUUACCUUCUCUUUCAGCUUUCAUUUUCACACUUGUGUUUGCAUACACUAUAUAUAAAAGUGAGCAAGAAAGUAGAGAGGGAUCUUAUUUGAAAAUAUUAUUUUUACCCAUCUCAUAACUAAUGAACUUAAAGUACUGAAACGUUUCAACAGAAAAGAAAAACCAAAGAGGAAGGAAAAAAAGCUUUUACAGGAAGGCGAUGGAGGUCAUUUUGUAAACAGUUAUUUGAGAACUAAUCAUGGGAGAGACCUUUCCUUUGAUCUUUUCCAAAUAAGCCACUUAAUAUUUUCACGUGUCAAUUUCACCAUAUUUGCAAGUGCCACUCACUCAUUCAUUCAGGUACUAACCAAGGCUUGCUAAAGCUCCACUGGGAGACACUGACUCCAGGAUGAUAGUGUAAUCCAGGCUGCAAUGCAAAACGCAUUUAUUCUGAUGUAAAGUGUUCCUUUCUUUCAUAUCCAGAGAUUAUGAUUUUGUGACAGUAAUUGCUCGGUUAUUUAUAAAAAGUAAACAAAUCACUUAUCUACAAUAAGUAAGGCAUUUAUUUAUUCUUGGAACUAGCCAGUAAAAUUUCAGACAAACUUUUCUUCUAGUAUUAACUAUUAUGACUUGCUUCAAAGAAAAAGUGCUUUUGCAGAAGCCUAGUGACAAACCAUAGAAGAACAUAUUAUCUUCAAUUUGGUUUCAAAUGUUAUUUCAAUCUCUUACCUUACUUCUUUGAAGAAAUUCUGAAAAUUUUUUAAAGUAAUAAUAAGAAGAAAUUACCUAAGAAGAAAUUACCUAAUCACAAUAUUUCCUUUUAAGGCAAAUAUCAGGAUUUAGGAUAUUAUGUAAUUUAUCAGUUCAAUUUACUAAAAAAAAGAGGUGCAGAAAAUGUUAUUAGAGGUAGUUAUCCUUGAUUUUAACCAAGGAUCAUUUGUUAUGGAGGCAUCAAAGUAUACCCUAGCUCCAAAUUUCAUGACCAUUAUCACCAAAGAUUCAUGGAAUGUAUCUUGUUUGUUCUCUUUUCAGAAAGUGUUUUCUGAAAAGCAAAUUUAACAUCUGACAUCAUUUGCCUCUUUAGGAUUUUAAUGGACAAUUGUGCUUAAAAUCUUAUAAGGAAGUGCUCUCAAAACUAUCAUUUAAAAAAUCACGUGUGGGUUACUCUCUGUAAUAACAAGGGUAUUUCUACGUCACAGUGUGCCCGGAACAAUCCUACAUACAUACCGGUGGUCCAGGCUCAUUAUUAGCAGUGCUUUCUUUAUCAAAGUGUUCUGGGUUUGGGUAAAAAUUACAUGGUAAACCUAGCAAUAGCCAAAGAUCAAUCAGAAUUCAGACAUUUCAAACUUUCUGUUCUUCAGUUCCCUUUUUUUUUUUUUUGACCCAAAUAGGCAGAUUGAACUCAAUAACCUUUAAGGGCUUUUGUAGAAUUUUAACAUUCUGUGAUUCUUCAUUCUAGCUGAAUUGUAACUGGAUGAUUCAGGUAAAAGCUAAUUUGGAGCAUUUGACUUUUAGUUGUCAGACUGAACUUGUAACAUUCAGUUAAAAGGGAAGGUAUACAACUUUUAUUCAACAUGAGUUAGUAUUUCAUUUAUAUAUAUGUGUAUUCAUAUAUAAAUAUAUAUGGAUAUAUGGAUAUGGAUAUAUGGAUAUACAUGUAUAUAUAUGUAUAUACGCAUAUAUAGUAUAUGUAUUUAAAUUGAAGUUUUAGUUUGAGAAUACUUUAAAGUUUUGAAUUACUUAAAGUAGGACUUAGAAGAAUUACCAAAAUAAACCCAUGAGAAUCAUUAUUUGUAGGAUUAGACAAGUUCCUUUUUGCAAUAAUAUAAUCAGCAAAAUAUAGAAACUAAAAAAGACAAAAUAGUUUUGUGGAAUGAAGAGGUAUAACUCUUUAGUAUUAAUUAGUCUAAGCUUGAUGCUUUCUAUAAUAAAUUUUUACAACAUCAAUACAGUAUUAUGGAGGAGAAACACUGAAGUUGAAUUUUUGUGUAGUAAAACCAUACAAAAAGAAUUUAAUGGAAUCUGUAGAUUAUAUUUUUCUAUAUACACAUACAGUAUCAUUCAUAAGCAUGAUGUACAUGUGAUGCUCUAUAAACAUGAUGUUCUGCAUAGUAUUAGAAACAUUUUCUUUUGUAAAAUGUUAUUUUCAUAGCACUGAGUUUAAAGACUUUAUUUUUGGAAUGUGUACGUAUUUUCUUUAUAAGAUGAUAGAGCUACUGAGGUAUUUCCUUUGUUGUGUCACCUUUAGGACUUACUAUUUGAAGUACUUCUUAGAAAUUGCUAUGCCACAGUGUCCAGAAUUUUAACUAUUCUUUAAACACUUCUAAAACACUUCAUAAAUAGAAAGUGUAUUGGGGUAUAUAACAUCAAUAUAUAUCCAACUUUAUAAAAUACACUGAGUUCAGUUAUCUCUAGAACCAUGCAUAUAUUAUUCACCAUAAAAGUUCUACUCAGUGUCAAUAAAGUAAACAUUUUUGUAAGAAAUCUAGGCAAACCACUGAGGAAAACCUGUUCGUGGAAUAUAUGUUAGAAUAAUUUGCCCCAAGAAUAUUACAUGGAGGCAGAAUCUGCUAAAAUAUUUGAUAUUAAUUCAUUCAUCUGAUUUUUUAACACUGUAAGAGUACCAGUGGCCAGGAAAAUAGAUUAUCAAAAUAGGAAAUUACAAAUAUGAAACCUAUAAUGAUGGAAAGUAGAGAUGUUUUCUAAGUAAUUAGUACAAUUCUCAAAAAUACUUUUCUACGAUUUCUUAUGUGUUUUCUCAUUUAGAUACAUUUUAUGAAGGAAAAAAUUAUGCUGAAAAACCCCUUGAAAUUCUAAUUUUUUAAAGUAAAUUUAUUAAAGUGGGGAAUAAGCCAUUUAGUCAAAUCACAGAGAGGGAAAACCAUAUUAAUUAUGUAUAUUUCAAUGUGUAUUCAUAAAUGCCCAUUGCAUAAACCUCAUAGUAACCUAUGUUACCCACGUAAACAUCAUUUGGGGUUAAGAGAGAAAAUAUUGAAUAACGCACAAUUUAAAAUCAUUAGUGAGCAAAAUCAGACAUGGCAGAAAUAAAAGACUUUGAGCUCCGACACACUGAAUAUAGAAAAAUGAGGUUUUGGAAUCAUUUGACAGCUGAUACCUACUGGUAACCAGAGGCCCUGAAAAGACAACUUAAAAGAUAUUUGAACCUAACGUGUGCGUGUCUAUGUGCUUGUGUGUCCACAUGUAUAAAUAAAGUACUAACCUACUAGUUAUCUCUUUUUACUCUCAGCCUGUCAAAAAAACCUGUCAGCUGCAAAGGCGAUAAGGGGGGCAGUUUAAAGAAGAUACUGGAGCCUUAAGCUUCUUAAUGUGCCAAGAAUCAAUCCCAUGAAAGCAAACAACUUGAAAAAGGGUUAUAUGUAUUUAGGAAAGCUCUCAGGCUCCCUUCCCGCUCCGCUCCAGCCAGAGCGAGUGUUCAAGUUUUCUCACCCUGAUGACCCCUGAAGCAGCCCGGAGGGAUUGCAAAACAAGGCCGUUACACAAGGCAGCUUGCUAAUUGAGAAGUUGAUCGGGGGUAGAGAAAUCCUGCUUUACCACGUUAAGUGUCGAAAUCAAGCAUGACUAGAUUGACGUCGCCAAAUCACCGUCUGGAGGCCACUCCACGCCAGGAGCAGCCGGGCUUUUCACACCUGAUAGGCCCUCACUCUAUCUACAUCAAG
This 6565-nucleotide long non-coding RNA is filed under the name Lynx pardinus (Iberian lynx). The record is from RNAcentral. Lineage: Eukaryota; Metazoa; Chordata; Mammalia; Carnivora; Felidae.